UACAGAGGUCUCAAGCGUUGUUCGGAUUCAUUGGGCGUAAAGCGCGCGUAGGCGGACCUGCAAGUCGGGGGUGAAAGCCCGAGGCUCAACCUCGGAACUGCCUUCGAUACUGCGGGUCUCGAGUCCGGGAGAGGUGAGUGGAAUUCCUAGUGUAGAGGUGAAAUUCGUAGAUAUUAGGAAGAACACCAGUGGCGAAGGCGGCUCACUGGCCCGGUACUGACGCUGAGGCGCGAAAGCGUGGGGAGCAAACAGG
RNAcentral lists this ribosomal RNA (253 nucleotides) under uncultured bacterium. Its description in RNAcentral is "partial 16S ribosomal RNA". It matches the Rfam family "Bacterial small subunit ribosomal RNA", at positions 524 to 776 of the family's 1533-position model. The record is from RNAcentral.